RNAcentral lists this ribosomal RNA (970 nucleotides) under human gut metagenome. RNAcentral describes it as "bacterial SSU rRNA". It matches the Rfam family "Bacterial small subunit ribosomal RNA", at positions 537 to 1520 of the family's 1533-position model. The record is from RNAcentral.
AGCGUUAUCCGGAAUUAUUGGGCGUAAAGGGUGCGUAGGCGGGUUAUCAAGUCUUUGGUUAAAAUGCGGUGCUCAACGCCGUAGUGCCAAAGAAACUGAUAGUCUAGAGUAUGGUAGAAGUGAGUGGAACUCCAUGUGUAGCGGUAAAAUGCGUAAAUAUAUGGAAGAACACCAGUGGCGAAGGCGGCUCACUAGGCCAAUACUGACGCUGAGACACGAAAGCGUGGGGAGCAAACAGGAUUAGAUACCCUGGUAGUCCACGCCCUAAACGAUGAGUACUAAGUGUAGCCAGAAGGCUGUGCUGAAGUUAACGCAUUAAGUACUCCGCCUGAGUAGUACGUACGCAAGUAUGAAACUUAAAGGAAUUGACGGGAUCCCGCACAAGCGGUGGAGCAUGUUGUUUAAUUCGACGAUACGCGAAGAACCUUACCAGGUCUUGACAUACUCGGCAAAUCUAUAGAGAUAUAGAGGAGGUUAACCGGGAUACAGGUGGUGCAUGGUUGUCGUCAGCUCGUGUCGUGAGAUGUUAGGUUAAGUCCUGCAACGAGCGCAACCCUUAUUGCUAGUUACCAUCAUUAAGUUGGGGACUCUAGCGAGACUGCCGGUGAUAAACCGGAGGAAGGCGGGGAUGACGUCAAAUCAUCAUGCCCUUUAUGACCUGGGCUACAAACGUGCUACAAUGGCUGACACAAAGAGAAGCGAGCUCGCGAGAGUAAGCAAACCUCAGAAAAGCAGUCUCAGUUCGGAUUGAAGUCUGCAACUCGACUUCAUGAAGUUGGAAUCGCUAGUAAUCGCGAAGCAGAGUGUCGCGGUGAAUACGUUCCCGGGAUUUGUACACACCGCCCGUCAAACCAUGAGAGUUUGUAAUACCCGAAGCCGGUGGCCGAACCGCAAGGAAGGAGCCGUCUAAGGUAGGACAGAUGAUUGGGGUUAAGUCGUAACAAGGUAUCCCUACGAGAACGUGGGGAUG